Molecule: transfer RNA, 64 nt
Filed under: Stenus boops
Lineage: Eukaryota; Metazoa; Arthropoda; Insecta; Coleoptera; Staphylinidae
Description: tRNA-Tyr
Source: RNAcentral
AAUAAAAUGGCUGAGAUCAAGCGAUAAAUUGUAAAUUUAUUUACGAAUGGAAAAUUCUUUUAUU